Molecule: non-coding RNA, 466 nt
Organism: Pelobates cultripes (western spadefoot toad)
Lineage: Eukaryota; Metazoa; Chordata; Amphibia; Anura; Pelobatidae
Source: the annotation of a GenBank genome assembly
AGAUCAUCUACCUUCACAGACAGAACAAUUGGACUUUAUACAUAAGAGAGGAUGGAAAAGAGCCUUGUUAGCUAGUUUGCUGCUUCACAGUUAUUUUAAAAGUCUCUGUAUGCUGUAUGGAUAAAUGGAUUACAUACUGGUGGAUCUUCAGUAAUGUGAGGUGAGCAAUGUGUCCUCUUUUCUUGAGUUUCAGAGUCUCCUGAGGAGUUUGGGAACAGCCGUUGAUAUAAGAGAAGGCAAUAAAAGUUAAGAGAGAAUCCAUAACCCAAUACAAAUAUAUGGCUGAUGUGAUUUCAAAGAGUUAUGAAAAUAUGUGAGAUGAUUGCUCUAUCAUCCACAGGCAGAGGAUUAUGUGAGAGGACAUCCUUUUAACAAGACGGGUCUGUUUCUUUUCUUCUUUAAAUGUAAUGCAUUGUUUCCUCCAUAAGUGUGGGUUAUUGCAUUGUUGUUGUGGGAGGGUUGUUUC